CCGUAACACUACCCUAGACGACGAGCACUGUGAAAACCUACAGGAGGAGUGCAAAGAGGAGAAUGGCUGUUUCUGCGACGACACACAAGCAAAGGCCAUUAGAACAGAAUAUUAUAAUAUAACAAUAGAUGGAAAGAACUCUGAGGACAUCGAGAGCAAGUGCAAAAUGGAGGACGGCUGUUUUUUCGACGACAAAAAAACUGAAUUCGUAAUAACAGUGGGGAAAACGUGCCAAGAAAUCGAAGAGAAGUGCAACGUACAGAAUGGCUGUUUCUGCGAUGUCAAACAAGGAAAACUGGCUGUAAAACUGGCGAAAUCCUGUGAGGACAUAAAGGACAAGUGCAAGAAGGUGGAUGGCUGUUUCUGCAAUGACAAACCAAGAAAACUCGUUG
Molecule: long non-coding RNA, 392 nt
Organism: Rhipicephalus sanguineus (brown dog tick)
Lineage: Eukaryota; Metazoa; Arthropoda; Arachnida; Ixodida; Ixodidae
Exons: 4
Source: RefSeq, a predicted model, not a curated record